UGGGGAAUUUUGGACAAUGGACGAAAGCCUGAUCCAGCAAUGCCGCGUGUGUGAAGAAGGCCUUCGGGUUGUAAAGCACUUUUGUCCGGAAAGAAAUCCUUGGCUCUAAUACAGUCGGGGGAUGACGGUACCGGAAGAAUAAGCACCGGCUAACUACGUGCCAGCAGCCGCGGUAAUACGUAGGGUGCAAGCGUUAAUCGGAAUUACUGGGCGUAAAGCGUGCGCAGGCGGUUUGCUAAGACCGAUGUGAAAUCCCCGGGCUCAACCUGGGAACUGCAUUGGUGACUGGCAGGCUAGAGUAUGGCAGAGGGGGGUAGAAUUCCACGUGUAGCAGUGAAAUGCGUAGAGAUGUGGAGGAAUACCGAUGGCGAAGGCAGCCCCCUGGGCCAAUACUGACGCUCAUGCACGAAAGCGUGGGGAGCAAACAGGAUUAGAUACCCUGGUAGUCCACGCCCUAAACGAUGUCAACUAGUUGUUGGGGAUUCAUUUCCUUAGUAACGUAGCUAACGCGUGAAGUUGACCGCCUGGGGAGUACGGUCGCAAGA
This 545-nucleotide ribosomal RNA is filed under the name uncultured bacterium. RNAcentral describes it as "partial 16S ribosomal RNA". It matches the Rfam family "Bacterial small subunit ribosomal RNA", at positions 355 to 893 of the family's 1533-position model. The record is from RNAcentral.